UGGGGAAUUUUGGACAAUGGGCGCAAGCCUGAUCCAGCAAUGCCGCGUGCAGGAUGAAGGCCUUCGGGUUGUAAACUGCUUUUGUACGGAACGAAAAGCCUCUCUCUAAUACAGGGGGGUGAUGACGGUACCGUAAGAAUAAGCACCGGCUAACUACGUGCCAGCAGCCGCGGUAAUACGUAGGGUGCAAGCGUUAAUCGGAAUUACUGGGCGUAAAGCGUGCGCAGGCGGUUUUGUAAGGCAGUGGUGAAAUCCCCGGGCUCAACCUGGGAACUGCCAUUGUGACUGCAAGGCUGGAGUGCGGCAGAGGGGGAUGGAAUUCCGCGUGUAGCAGUGAAAUGCGUAGAUAUGCGGAGGAACACCGAUGGCGAAGGCAAUCCCCUGGGCCUGCACUGACGCUCAUGCACGAAAGCGUGGGGAGCAAACAGGAUUAGAUACCCUGGUAGUCCACGCCCUAAACGAUGUCAACUGGUUGUUGGGGAUUUAUUUCUUCAGUAACGAAGCUAACGCGUGAAGUUGACCGCCUGGGGGAGUACGGCCGCAAGGUUAAAAACUUAAAAUGAAUUGACGGGGUCAUAGC
Molecule: ribosomal RNA, 580 nt
Filed under: uncultured bacterium
Lineage: Bacteria
Description: partial 16S ribosomal RNA
Rfam family: Bacterial small subunit ribosomal RNA
Source: RNAcentral